RNAcentral lists this ribosomal RNA (629 nucleotides) under uncultured Moraxellaceae bacterium. Its description in RNAcentral is "SSU rRNA". It matches the Rfam family "Bacterial small subunit ribosomal RNA", at positions 71 to 695 of the family's 1533-position model. The record is from RNAcentral. Lineage: Bacteria; Pseudomonadati; Pseudomonadota; Gammaproteobacteria; Moraxellales; Moraxellaceae.
AAGGUUGCUUCGGUAACUGACCUAGCGGCGGACGGGUGAGUAAUGCUUAGGAAUCUGCCUAUUAGUGGGGGACAACGUUCCGAAAGGAACGCUAAUACCGCAUACGCCCUACGGGGGAAAGCAGGGGAUCUUCGGACCUUGCGCUAAUAGAUGAGCCUAAGUCGGAUUAGCUAGUUGGUGGGGUAAAGGCCUACCAAGGCGACGAUCUGUAGCGGGUCUGAGAGGAUGAUCCGCCACACUGGGACUGAGACACGGCCCAGACUCCUACGGGAGGCAGCAGUGGGGAAUAUUGGACAAUGGGCGGAAGCCUGAUCCAGCCAUGCCGCGUGUGUGAAGAAGGCCUUUUGGUUGUAAAGCACUUUAAGCGAGGAGGAGGCUCCUUUAGUUAAUACCUAAAGAGAGUGGACGUUACUCGCAGAAUAAGCACCGGCUAACUCUGUGCCAGCAGCCGCGGUAAUACAGAGGGUGCGAGCGUUAAUCGGAUUUACUGGGCGUAAAGCGUGCGUAGGCGGCUUUUUAAGUCGGAUGUGAAAUCCCUGAGCUUAACUUAGGAAUUGCAUUCGAUACUGGAAAGCUAGAGUAUGGGAGAGGAUGGUAGAAUUCCAGGUGUAGCGGUGAAAUGCGUAGAG